AAGUCGUAACAAGGUUUCCGUAGGUGAACCUGCGGAAGGAUCAUCAUCGAAUUCAUAUCCCCCUCCUCUCCCGGAGGGGGACCCAUGAUAAACCCUUCUGUGCACCGUAAACCGUUCACUUUGGCAGGCUUUGGCGGUGAGCGUGAGCUCGCCUCCAACCUCGCGUUCCCUCUCUAAGGGAGUGUUACGCGUGGCGGCCUGCCGGAGUCCCAUUUAAAAACUCGUUUUCGAACACGUCUGAAAAUUUCCUUUGAGAAAUCAAAGAACCGAAAACAACUUUCAACAACGGAUCUCUUGGCUCUC
RNAcentral lists this unclassified non-coding RNA (303 nucleotides) under fungal sp. RNAcentral describes it as "partial internal transcribed spacer region". The stretch from base 1 to 46 matches the Rfam family "Eukaryotic small subunit ribosomal RNA", at positions 1786 to 1831 of the family's 1831-position model. Lineage: Eukaryota; Fungi. The record is from RNAcentral.